This 195-nucleotide ribosomal RNA is filed under the name uncultured Carnobacterium sp. RNAcentral's name for it is "partial 16S ribosomal RNA". It matches the Rfam family "Bacterial small subunit ribosomal RNA", at positions 338 to 525 of the family's 1533-position model. Lineage: Bacteria; Bacillati; Bacillota; Bacilli; Lactobacillales; Carnobacteriaceae. The record is from RNAcentral.
CCUACGGGAGGCAGCAGUAGGGAAUCUUCCGCAAUGGACGAAAGUCUGACGGAGCAAUGCCGCGUGAGUGAAGAAGGUUUUCGGAUCGUAAAACUCUGUUGUUAGAGAAGAACAAGGAUGAAAGUAACUGCUCAUCCCCUGACGGUAUCUAACCAGAAAGCCACGGCUAACUACGUGCCAGCAGCCGCGGUAAUA